CUACGGGUGGCAGCAGUGAGGAAUUUUGGACAAUGGGGGAAACCCUGAUCCAGAGAUGCCGCGUGAGUGAAGAAGGUAUUUUUUAUUGUAAAACUCUUUUUGUGUGAGAAGAUAAUGACGGUAUCCACAGAAUAAGCACCGGCUAACUCUGUGCCAGCAGCCGCGGUAAUACAGAGGGUGCUAGCGUUGUUCGGAAUUACUGGGCGUAAAGCGCAUGUAGGCGGUUUUUUAAGUUAAGAAUUAAAACUUAUGGCUCAACCAUAUUAUGUUCUUAAUACUGAAAAACUGGAGAAUGGAAGAGGUAAGUGGAAUUUCUAGUGUAGGGGUGAAAUCCGUAGAUAUUAGAAGGAACAUCGUAAGCGAAGGCGACUUACUGGGACAUUUCUGACGCUGAGAUGCGAAAGCGUGGGGAGCAAAUAGGAUUAGAUACCCGCGUAGUC
RNAcentral lists this ribosomal RNA (440 nucleotides) under uncultured bacterium. RNAcentral describes it as "partial 16S ribosomal RNA". It matches the Rfam family "Bacterial small subunit ribosomal RNA", at positions 339 to 795 of the family's 1533-position model. The record is from RNAcentral.